GCUUACGACUAUACCACCCUGAAUCUCGGAAGCUAAGCAGGGUCGGGCCUGGUUAGUACUUGGAUGGGAGACCGCUUGGGAAUACCAGGUGCUGUAAGCC
RNAcentral lists this ribosomal RNA (100 nucleotides) under Dicentrarchus labrax (European seabass). Lineage: Eukaryota; Metazoa; Chordata; Actinopteri; Moronidae. The record is from RNAcentral.